GACGUAGGGCGCGAGCGUUGUCCGGAUUUAUUGGGCGUAAAGAGCUCGUAGGUGGUUUGUUACGUCUGCUGUGAAAACCUAGGGCUUAACCCUGGGCUUGCAGUGGAUACGGGCAGACUAGAGGUAGGUAGGGGAGAAUGGAAUUCCUGGUGUAGCGGUGAAAUGCGCAGAUAUCAGGAGGAACACCGGUGGCGAAGGCGGGUCUCUGGGCCGUAACUGACGCUGAGGAGCGAAAGCGUGGGGAGCGAACAGG
This 253-nucleotide ribosomal RNA is filed under the name uncultured bacterium. RNAcentral's name for it is "partial 16S ribosomal RNA". It matches the Rfam family "Bacterial small subunit ribosomal RNA", at positions 524 to 776 of the family's 1533-position model. The record is from RNAcentral.